AUACGUAGGUGACAAGCGUUGUCCGGAUUUACUGGGCGUAAAGCGCGUGCAGGCGGUCUGGUAAGUUGGACGUGAAAGCUCCCGGCUCAACUGGGAGAGGUCGUUCAAUACUGUCAGACUUGAGGAUGGUAGAGGGAGGUGGAAUUCCAGGUGUAGUGGUGAAAUGCGCAGAUAUCUGGAGGAACACCAGUGGCGAAAGCGGCCUCCUGGACCAUUCCUGACGCUCAGACGCGAAAGCUAGGGUAGCGAACGGGCUUAGAGACCCCGGUAGUCCUAGCUGUAAACGAUGUGAACUUGGCGUCGGUGGGAUUAAAUCCAUCGGUGUCGAAGCUAACGCGAUAAGUUCACCGCCUGAGGACUACGGCCGCAAGGUUAAA
Molecule: ribosomal RNA, 377 nt
Filed under: uncultured bacterium
Lineage: Bacteria
Description: bacterial SSU rRNA
Rfam family: Bacterial small subunit ribosomal RNA
Source: RNAcentral